This 200-nucleotide long non-coding RNA is filed under the name Ricinus communis (castor bean). RNAcentral describes it as "long non-coding RNA (RCOM_LNC002146)". Lineage: Eukaryota; Viridiplantae; Streptophyta; Magnoliopsida; Malpighiales; Euphorbiaceae. The record is from RNAcentral.
AAGAACUUAUUUUUCUUUUAUGUUCGAUGACACCCAACACGGCUGUGUUGGUGCCCGUGUGGGGAACACGGCCAGUGUUGAAACCAACACGGCCAUGUUCAGAUUCCUCAUGCUCGUACUUAGCUUGUUUCGUCAGCUUCGGUGUCCAAUUAUGCUCAAAUUCUUCCUUUUAUCAUUCUUUAACUUCUUUUGAACCUAAU